This 619-nucleotide small RNA is filed under the name Pongo abelii (Sumatran orangutan). RNAcentral describes it as "retained intron". The record is from RNAcentral. Lineage: Eukaryota; Metazoa; Chordata; Mammalia; Primates; Hominidae.
CAGUUGCAUCAGAAGGCCGUGGCUAGUGAGAUCUUCAAGGGCAAGAAGGAUAAUUACCCUCAGAGUGUACCCAGGCUCUUCAUCAGCACUCGGCUUGGUGAGCCCCUGACUUUCCAGCACUCAGACCUUUCAUCAUCGUCCUGGUCCCCCGUUGCCUCCACUGACCUCCCUCCCUGCCAUCUGAGUUGCAGGUACAGAUGAGAUCAGCCCCCGAGUGCUGCAGGCCCUGGGCUCUGAGCCCAUUCAGUAUGCGGUGCCUGUUGUGAAAUAUGACCGCAAGGGCUACAAGCCUCGCUCCCGGCAGCUGCUGCUCACACCCAAUGCCGUGGUCAUCGUGGAGGAUGCCAAAGUCAAGCAGAGGAUUGAUUACGCCAACCUGACCGGUCGGCCAGGGUCCAGGGCUGCAGGGGGAGGGCCCCUGCUCUGACACUCGACCUCUGACCUUUGCCCUCUCCCCUCAGGAAUCUCUGUCAGCAGCCUGAGCGACAGUCUUUUUGUGCUUCAUGUACAGCGUGCGGACAAUAAGCAAAAGGGAGAUGUGGUGCUGCAGAGUGACCACGUGAUCGAGACGCUGACCAAGACAGCCCUCAGUGCCCACUGCGUGAACAACAUCAACAUC